GUGCUUGCUUCGGCAGCACAUAUAGUAAAAUUGGAAUGAUACAGAAAAGAUUAGCAUGGCCCCUGUGCAAGGAUGACACGCAAAUACUUGAUGGCUUAUUGUU
Vulpes vulpes (red fox) is the source of this 103-nucleotide small nuclear RNA. NCBI's taxonomy places the organism in Eukaryota, Metazoa, Chordata, Mammalia, Carnivora, Canidae. The record is from Ensembl.